GCCGCUGUGGCGGAAUUGGCAGACGCAAGGGACUUAAAAUCCCUCGGUGGCAACACCAUACGGGUUCGAUUCCCGUCAGCAGCACCA
Molecule: transfer RNA, 87 nt
Filed under: Ruthenibacterium lactatiformans
Lineage: Bacteria; Bacillati; Bacillota; Clostridia; Eubacteriales; Oscillospiraceae
Description: tRNA-Leu
Rfam family: tRNA
About the family: Transfer RNA (tRNA) molecules are approximately 80 nucleotides in length. Their secondary structure includes four short double-helical elements and three loops (D, anti-codon, and T loops).
Source: RNAcentral